This 251-nucleotide ribosomal RNA is filed under the name uncultured bacterium. Its description in RNAcentral is "partial 16S ribosomal RNA". It matches the Rfam family "Bacterial small subunit ribosomal RNA", at positions 795 to 1052 of the family's 1533-position model. The record is from RNAcentral.
CCACGCCGUAAACGAUGAGUACUAAGUGUUGGGGGUCAGACCUCAGUGCUGCAGUUAACGCAAUAAGUACUCCGCCUGAGUAGUACGUUCGCAAGAAUGAAACUCAAAGGAAUUGACGGGGGCCCGCACAAGCGGUGGAGCAUGUGGUUUAAUUCGAAGCAACGCGAAGAACCUUACCAGGUCUUGACAUACCUUUAAAGGCCCCAGAGAUGGGGAGAUAGCUAUAGAGGAUACAGGUGGUGCAUGGUUGU